UACGUAGGGUCCAAGCGUUAUCCGGAAUUACUGGGCGUAAAGCGUCUGUAGGCGGCUUAAUAAGUCAGGUGCGAAAUCUUGCGGCUCAACCGUAUAGACUGUGCUUGAAACUAUUUAGCUAGAGGUAGGUAGAGGCAAGUGGAAUUUCUGGUGUAGGAGUGACAUCCGUAGAUAUCAGAAGGAACACCAAUGGCGAAGGCAGCUUGCUGGGCCUUACCUGACGCUCAGAGACGAAAGCGUGGGGAGCGAACGGG
RNAcentral lists this ribosomal RNA (254 nucleotides) under uncultured bacterium. RNAcentral describes it as "partial 16S ribosomal RNA". It matches the Rfam family "Bacterial small subunit ribosomal RNA", at positions 524 to 776 of the family's 1533-position model. The record is from RNAcentral.